AAAGCUAACAACGAAAACUUUUAACUUUCGAGCAAUAUUACAAAUCUCCAAAGAUUUCUUAGAAUAUAUCUAUCGCGUGAGCGACGCCAAUUUAUCCGUAGUUUGCUUUGUGAUGUCACGUAAGCCGGGCAAUAAUUUUUCCCAUUCAUUGAUAUCUCAAGACAAAUAUUACUGACAGAGUUACUCUUAACUUUGAUAAAGGAAAAAAUGUAAAGUACAAAUAUUUGAAGACCCCUCUUUCCACUGUAAGUAUGAAUAACGAAAGCGAGGCUAGUAGAUUUCAAAGACUUCUGGGCCAAUCAGCUUGCAUGUUCAGCGUCUGGCUGCAAAGCAACGGCUUGGGGUUUGUGAAGAGUUUUGUGCUGUUGUUUUGAUCUUAAUCCACAACUGCGGCGAAAUUUUCAGCAUUAAGGAUGGCUACAGAGAAUGAUUGAAUUGAAUUUGUUGAUGAAAGGGCAUUUCUAGACCGGUACACUGAUGAUGACAUCAGAAGGCCGCAAGUCUCCUGUUCAUGUACACGUGGAUAGAGAAACGCCUGUUCAUGUCCAUCUCAAGAAAAAGAAAAAGGGAAAAGCUGGAGUACCGACAGCAGUUGAGCAACGACUAAAGACUAAGAGACUCAGUGGUUUAGCAAAAUCUUCUG
Long non-coding RNA from Orbicella faveolata, 643 nucleotides. The record is from RefSeq and is a predicted model, not a curated record. Lineage: Eukaryota; Metazoa; Cnidaria; Anthozoa; Scleractinia; Merulinidae.